Non-coding RNA from Cricetulus griseus (Chinese hamster), 1433 nucleotides. Lineage: Eukaryota; Metazoa; Chordata; Mammalia; Rodentia; Cricetidae. The record is from RefSeq and is a predicted model, not a curated record.
CGCCGGGGGGACCCGUAUUUAUGGGGCAGGGACAACUCGCAGCACCGGAACCUCGUAACCUUCCGCCACCUUGAUGAAGGAAGAAAAAUAGUUCCUCCCGAAAGUUAAAAAUAGAGCCUGGCUUCCAGGUUUCUAGAUUUUUCUUAACGUCGUUUGGACCUGGAGUCCUUCCUAAUACAGGCCUCUCUGUGUAGUGCUGGUUGACCCAAAGGACAGCACCAAUAAAGAAGGAGAGACAAGUUCAUUUUAGCAUGUCGCCUGCUGUCCCCUCAAAGGAGUCCAGACCAAAAAUAGAAGCCCUGAGUUCUUGCUUCUGGCAGGUGUGUCACUGACAAGCGUCCCUGUGACCUUGGGCAAGAAUCUAAUAACAUCUGCAUGGUAAAUUCCUAAUGUAUAAAGAGAGAGGAUGAGAGAAUCCACGAAUGAUGCUGAUUCUGUGAAAUUCUGUAAACAAAGGGGUGGGGAGAGAUGUGGAAGAUUUUAGAUCUCCUGGCUAUGGCUUGAAGGAGUCAUGACCCUGAAAACCACUGAAGCAGCAAAAAUUCAGAAUUAGGAUAAGGCCUGCUGUGAGGACUGCAGCAGAGGCCAGGAAUCCCCCAGAGAACACUGGAGUCUACCUGCCCCUUACAGGUGACAAAGGCCAUCAGCCCUGGUCAAGAGAGUGACUGCUGGGGUCUUUUAGUUUAGUCCCAGGGGGGCAGAGGCAAGACUGGGCAACUGCACUUGCUGAGGAACUGUAUCCUGUCCUGUGAUUUUUAUCUAUAAGGUACUGGAGUGGGGAGGUGCCCAAGAAAACAUCCCAUCCACCCACCUAGCUCCCCAUCUUUCAGAACUGAUUUUUGGAAAGGACUUUGGGACCCUGUGAGCCUCUAAAUCUGCAGCCCAAACCUGGGCUCCUCCCACCGCAGGAAAAAAUCUUUUUUUUUUUCAAAGACAGAGACUUUGAAGCAGAGCUCUGUCUCGGGACAGCAUUAUUUCCAGUGAGCUUUGGACAGAGGACAACCAUACCCUGCAGAGAGGGUAAAAAAUCAAUCAUUGAGGCCCCAGACAUACCCACUUCACGGAGAACCCAGGUCCAGCAAAACAAGUUACAGGAACUGAGAGUGGCUGUGACAUUGCAGCAUUGCAGUUGGGAAGCAGCAGCCUGGGUCUCUCUGUCACGGGAACUGAAGUCACCAGGACAAGAGAAAAAAAAAAGUGUGUGUGUGGGGGACAGUGGAUACUCUUCUUGUUUCUUGUGAAAACAAAGAACUAUCUUCUACAUUGUUUACCUCCUUCAUUGUCUGAGGAAGGGUCAGCAGGUUGAAGGCCCUUGUUGCUAAGCCUGACUUUGAUCCUUUGACCUCCAUCCACAUGGUGAGAGAAAUUAACAGACCCUAACAAGCUGCCCUCUGACCUCCCAACACACAAAAUACAUAGAUGUUACAAAGUCA